Molecule: ribosomal RNA, 467 nt
Filed under: uncultured Acholeplasma sp.
Lineage: Bacteria; Bacillati; Mycoplasmatota; Mollicutes; Acholeplasmatales; Acholeplasmataceae
Description: bacterial SSU rRNA
Rfam family: Bacterial small subunit ribosomal RNA
Source: RNAcentral
GGGGCCCGCACAAGCGGUGGAGUAUGUGGUUUAAUUCGACGCAACGCGCAGAACCUUACCUGGUCUUGACAUCCCGGGAAUCUUGUGGAAACACGAGAGUGCCUCGCAAGAGGAGCCUGGAGACAGGUGGUGCAUGGUUGUCGUCAGCUCGUGUCGUGAGAUGUUGGGUUAAGUCCCGCAACGAGCGCAACCCUUAUUGCUAGUUACCAUCAUUAAGUUGGGGACUCUAGCGAGACUGCCAGUGAUAAACUGGAGGAAGGUGGGGAUGACGUCAAAUCAUCAUGCCCCUUAUGACCUGGGCUACAAACGUGAUACAAUGGCUGAAACAAAGGGCAGCGAAGGAGCGGUCUGGAGCGAAACCCAAAAAGCAGUCUCAGUUCGGAUUGAAGUCUGCAACUCGACUUCAUGAAGUCGGAAUCGCUAGUAAUCGCGGAUCAGAACGCCGCGGUGAAUACGUUCUCGGGUUU